UACGAAGGGAGCUAGCGUUGUUCGGAAUCACUGGGCGUAAAGGGCGCGUAGGCGGUUCGUACAGUCAGACGUGAAAUUCCUGGGCUCAACCUGGGGGCUGCGUUUGAUACGUGCGGACUUGAGUGCGGAAGAGGGUCGUGGAAUUCCCAGUGUAGAGGUGAAAUUCGUAGAUAUUGGGAAGAACACCGGUGGCGAAGGCGGCGACCUGGUCCGAUACUGACGCUGAGGCGCGAAAGCGUGGGGAGCAAACAGG
Molecule: ribosomal RNA, 253 nt
Filed under: uncultured bacterium
Lineage: Bacteria
Description: partial 16S ribosomal RNA
Rfam family: Bacterial small subunit ribosomal RNA
Source: RNAcentral